UUCUUUUCUGAUUAAUGAAACUCUCUUUCUUCCAGAGACUUCUCUCAACUGCUCCUCCUUCUCUCUAGAUUCUCUCACUGUAUUUUCCAUGAUUUUUCAGUUUAAUCUCAAAUUUUUCAUGGUAUCAGAGCCUAGACGACGAUCCGACUAUGUUUUUCUGCAUCUUGUUAUCUUGGUUGAAGUAUCCUUUGAGAUUUUUGGGGGUG
RNAcentral lists this long non-coding RNA (206 nucleotides) under Nicotiana benthamiana. RNAcentral's name for it is "long non-coding RNA (NBEN_LNC019050)". The record is from RNAcentral. Lineage: Eukaryota; Viridiplantae; Streptophyta; Magnoliopsida; Solanales; Solanaceae.